GAUGAACGCUGGCGGCGUGCCUAAUACAUGCGAGUCGAGCGAACAGACGAGGAGCUUGCUCCUCUGACGUUAGCGGCGGACGGGUGAGUAACACGUGGAUAACCUACCUAUAAGACUGGGAUAACUUCGGGAAACCGGAGCUAAUACCGGAUAAUAUAUUGAACCGCAUGGUUCAAUAGUGAAAGACGGUUUUGCUGUAACUUAUAGAUGGAUCCGCGCCGCAUUAGCUAGUUGGUAAGGUAACGGCUUACCAAGGCGACGAUGCGUAGCCGACCUGAGAGGGUGAUCGGCCACACUGGAACUGAGACACGGUCCAGACUCCUACGGGAGGCAGCAGUAGGGAAUGUUCCGCAAUGGGCGAAAGCCUGACGGAGCAGCGCCGCGUGAGUGAUGAAGGUCUUCGGAUCGUAAAACUCUGUUAUUAGGGAAGAACAAAUGUGUAAGUAACUAUGCACGUCUUGACGGUACCUAAUCAGAAAGCCACGGCUAACUACGUG
This 497-nucleotide ribosomal RNA is filed under the name uncultured bacterium. RNAcentral's name for it is "partial 16S ribosomal RNA". It matches the Rfam family "Bacterial small subunit ribosomal RNA", at positions 28 to 507 of the family's 1533-position model. The record is from RNAcentral.